GGGGGCGUAAAGGUUUCGACGUGGGUUUGGAACUUGAGGCUGCAUGUCGUGUUACUCUGGGUCACGUAAAAACUGGGGAACUUUAAAAUAAACGCAGACGAUAAUUUCGCGAUAGCAGCCUAGUUGCUGCUCGUCCCUCUUAGUCCUCCUGCCGACUAAGACUGGACGUCAUUAUGCAGGGAA
RNAcentral lists this transfer-messenger RNA (183 nucleotides) under Clostridioides difficile. Its description in RNAcentral is "partial transfer-messenger RNA". It matches the Rfam family "transfer-messenger RNA", at positions 1 to 201 of the family's 374-position model. From Rfam's summary of the family: Bacterial tmRNA, also known as 10Sa RNA or SsrA, is named for its dual tRNA and mRNA-like properties. Its role is to liberate the mRNA from a stalled ribosome. Lineage: Bacteria; Bacillati; Bacillota; Clostridia; Peptostreptococcales; Peptostreptococcaceae. The record is from RNAcentral.